AAUUUUUCUCUAUGGGGGAAACCCUGAUCCAGCCAUCCGGCGUGUAGGAUGAAGGCGUUCGGGUUGUGAUGUACUUUUUGCAGAGAAGAAAAGGUAUCUCUUAAUACGAGAUACUGCUGACGGUAUCUGCAGAUGAAGCACCGUCUAACUACGUGCCAGCAGCCGCGGUAAUACGUAGGGUGCAAGCGUUAAUCGGAAUUACUGGGCGUAAAGCGUGUGUAGGCGGUUCGGAAAGAAAGAUGUGAAAUCCCAGGGCUCAACCUUGGAACUGCAUUUUUAACUGCCGAGCUAGAGUAUGUCAGAGGGGGGUAGAAUUCCACGUGUAGCAGUGAAAUGCGUAGAUAUGUGGAGGAAUACCGAUGGCGAAGGCAGCCCCCUGGGAUAAUACUGACGCUCAGACACGAAAGCGUGGGGAGCAAACA
RNAcentral lists this ribosomal RNA (422 nucleotides) under uncultured bacterium. RNAcentral describes it as "partial 16S ribosomal RNA". It matches the Rfam family "Bacterial small subunit ribosomal RNA", at positions 360 to 774 of the family's 1533-position model. The record is from RNAcentral.